Molecule: long non-coding RNA, 807 nt
Organism: Cotesia glomerata
Lineage: Eukaryota; Metazoa; Arthropoda; Insecta; Hymenoptera; Braconidae
Exons: 2
Source: RefSeq, a predicted model, not a curated record
GUGUACAAAAAUAUUUUUAAUAAAAAACCAUAACAGAAAUUUUCUUAAAAAUUAAUUUCUUCUUUUGAUAAAAGAAAUUUUUGUACUUAAUAUAUUUUUAUUUAAAAUAUUGGAUUGUUUUUAGUCCGUGGUCUGUUUUUAAUGAAUGUAUUUCAAUUAGUAUACUUCAACGAACUAGUUAAUCACGAUAGUUUGCCAAUAAAUUAUUACGCACUUCAUGCAAGUUGUCACUUUAAUGCAUGGUCAUAUUAACAAACAAUUAUGACGGCGGCAAACAUGUACGAAGGCCGAGGGUCAAUUCGACCUAAUCUAUUUCAUUGACUAAAUUUAAUAGUUAAUUGAAUUUAUAAAGCGCUCGAUAGAAAUGUUUUACUAGUAGUUAUAAAUUGUAAAUAAAUUCUUCGGUGAAUGAUAAAAGUAUGAAAACAUACCUGUGGUUUAUAUAAAUUUUCUAUCAACAAAUGUUUGCAAUAAAAUUGAUAAAAAUCUGGUAAAUAUUCAAACUUAUAAAUAGUUGAUUUGCGAUUUGAAAAAAAAAUUAGAUAAAAGAGUUGGAUUAUCUUGAAAGCCAAGGUCAUCAUUGCUAUUCUAUUCGAUGCAAAUAUUCCAACUAAUAACGACAGUGCAUAGAUAAUACGUCAUCCAAUUAUUGGAGCUGAAAAGAAAAAUCACUCAGCCACCAAGUGUCGAUUAUUAUUAUAACUUAUUAAUGUUUUACUGAAUAAAAAUCUAUUUCGGUGUAACAAAAACAAAUGUUUGAUAUAUCUGUCAUAAAUAUCAGAAAUUAAUAAAGUACUUUCUCUUAAA